AGUUUAACGGGAUAUUGGUCCGGUUCAAUAAGAAAGCAGCGUUCGAAAUCUAUUGGGGGCUCUGCUUUUUGAUUGAGCCGUGCCAAUAUCACGUGCCACUUC
Morus notabilis is the source of this 102-nucleotide non-coding RNA. Lineage: Eukaryota; Viridiplantae; Streptophyta; Magnoliopsida; Rosales; Moraceae. The record is from Rfam.